Molecule: long non-coding RNA, 364 nt
Organism: Megalobrama amblycephala (Wuchang bream)
Lineage: Eukaryota; Metazoa; Chordata; Actinopteri; Cypriniformes; Xenocyprididae
Exons: 3
Source: RefSeq, a predicted model, not a curated record
CUUUAAGCACAGCCCAGGCUCCCUGCCUCUGGCUCUCCACUGAUACCAUCUCUGUCAUCUCAUCUGCCAGCAUAGCUACUCGCUCCAGAACACUGCAAUGCACAACAUAUACCGAAGAGAAUUGAUGAAGAAAAAUUAAGGCCUGUAUUAACCCCCCGGAACCGUGUGGAUGGAUGAUGGAUGAAUGUGGAUGGAUACACUUUCUUCAGCUCAUACUCGUUUGUGUGAGGUCUGACCCUCAGCCAGCAGCCUGAGAAGCCUGGCGCUCUCCCUCAGUCGCGCUCUGAAGGUCUUCUGCAUGGCCUGCUGCGCUUUCAUCUCCACCCGCAGGAUCUGUAGCUGACUGUCCAGUAGCUGUGUCAGC